Molecule: ribosomal RNA, 649 nt
Filed under: uncultured Bacteroidota bacterium
Lineage: Bacteria; Pseudomonadati; Bacteroidota
Description: bacterial SSU rRNA
Rfam family: Bacterial small subunit ribosomal RNA
Source: RNAcentral
CACAUGCAAGUCGAGGGGCAUCACGAAUGAAGCUUGCUUUAUUUGGUGGCGACCGGCGCACGGGUGAGUAACGCGUAUCCGACCUACCCAUAACACGGGCACAGCCGCUCGAAAGAGUGAUUGAUUCCCGAUAUGUCUUGUGAGUAGAUUGCAAGAUGAAAGAUUUAUCGGUUAUGGAUGGGGAUGCGUAAGAUUAGAUAGUUGGCGGGGUAACGGCCCACCAAGUCUACGAUGUCUAGGGGUUCUGAGAGGAAGGUCCCCCACACUGGAACUGAGACACGGUCCAGACUCCUACGGGAGGCAGCAGUGAGGAAUAUUGGUCAAUGGCCGGGAGGCUGAACCAGCCAAGUAGCGUGAAGGAUGAAGGUUCUAUGGAUUGUAAACUUCUUUUAUACGGGAAUAACAUCACCUACGUGUAGGUGCCUGCAUGUACCGUAUGAAUAAGCAUCGGCUAACUCCGUGCCAGCAGCCGCGGUAAUACGGAGGAUGCGAGCGUUAUCCGGAUUUAUUGGGUUUAAAGGGAGCGUAGACGGGAUGUUAAGUCAGUUGUGAAAGGCUGCGGCUCAACCGCAGCACUGCAGUUGAUACUGGCGUCCUUGAGUGCGGUUGAGGUGUAUGGAAUUCGUGGUGUAGCGGUGAAAUGCUUAGA